RNAcentral lists this non-coding RNA (144 nucleotides) under uncultured Aquabacterium sp. RNAcentral describes it as "ZMP/ZTP riboswitch". It matches the Rfam family "ZMP/ZTP riboswitch aptamer (pfl RNA motif)". From Rfam's summary of the family: Previously known as pfl RNA. Lineage: Bacteria; Pseudomonadati; Pseudomonadota; Betaproteobacteria; Burkholderiales; Sphaerotilaceae. The record is from RNAcentral.
UCCGCGCAACUGGCGAUACAUGGCGGGCCUUGCAGACCUUUCGGUCAGGGCAGGGCGGCCUGAGGUGGUGAACCACCGGGAAGCGCGGCGCGCGAUGGGCUGAUGUCGGCCUCUCGCGGAUCAGCCGUUCGCCUGGGCAGCCCU